Molecule: ribosomal RNA, 728 nt
Filed under: uncultured bacterium
Lineage: Bacteria
Description: bacterial SSU rRNA
Rfam family: Bacterial small subunit ribosomal RNA
Source: RNAcentral
GUCGAACGCGAAAGUCCCGCAAGGGAUUAGUAGAGUGGCAAACGGGUGAGUAACACGUGGGUGACCUGCCCUCGAGCGGGGGAUAACGUCCCGAAAGGGACGCUAAUACCGCAUGACAUCCUGCCUUUGAACAGGCGGAGAUCAAAGCUGGGGAUCGCAAGACCUAGCACUCGAAGAGGGGCCCGCGCCUGAUUAGCUAGUUGGUGAGGUAAUGGCUCACCAAGGCUACGAUCAGUAUCCGGCCUGAGAGGGCGGACGGACACACUGGGACUGAGACACGGCCCAGACUCCUACGGGAGGCAGCAGUGGGGAAUUGUUCGCAAUGGGCGCAAGCCUGACGACGCAACGCCGCGUGGAGGAUGAAGACCUUCGGGUCGUAAACUCCUUUCGAUCGAGACGAAUGGCCUCCGGGUGAACAAUCCGGAGGAGUGACGGUACCGAGAGAAGAAGCCCCGGCUAACUCCGUGCCAGCAGCCGCGGUGAUACGGGGGGGGCAAGCGUUGUUCGGAAUUACUGGGCGUAAAGGGCUCGUAGGCGGCCAACUAAGUCAGACGUGAAAUCCCUCGGCUUAACCGGGGAACUGCAUCUGAUACUGGAUGGCUUGAGUUCGGGAGAGGGAUGCGGAAUUCCAGGUGUAGCGGUGAAAUGCGUAGAUAUCUGGAGGAACACCGGUGGCGAAGGCGGCAUCCUGGACCGACACUGACGCUGAGGAGCGAAAGCCAGGGGAG